RNAcentral lists this transfer RNA (74 nucleotides) under Clostridium bornimense. It matches the Rfam family "tRNA". From Rfam's summary of the family: Transfer RNA (tRNA) molecules are approximately 80 nucleotides in length. Their secondary structure includes four short double-helical elements and three loops (D, anti-codon, and T loops). Further hydrogen bonds mediate the characteristic L-shaped molecular structure. tRNAs have two regions of fundamental functional importance: the anti-codon, which is responsible for specific mRNA codon recognition, and the 3' end, to which the tRNAs corresponding amino acid is attached (by aminoacyl-tRNA synthetases). tRNAs cope with the degeneracy of the genetic code in two manners: having more than one tRNA (with a specific anti-codon) for a particular amino acid; and 'wobble' base-pairing, i.e. permitting non-standard base-pairing at the 3rd anti-codon position. Lineage: Bacteria; Bacillati; Bacillota; Clostridia; Eubacteriales; Clostridiaceae. The record is from Rfam by way of RNAcentral.
GCGCUCAUAGCUCAGUUGGAUAGAGCGUCAGACUCCGGAUCUGAAGGCCGUGGGUUCAACUCCCGCUGGGCGCA